RNAcentral lists this ribosomal RNA (463 nucleotides) under Veillonella parvula. RNAcentral's name for it is "bacterial SSU rRNA". It matches the Rfam family "Bacterial small subunit ribosomal RNA", at positions 28 to 467 of the family's 1533-position model. The record is from RNAcentral. Lineage: Bacteria; Bacillati; Bacillota; Negativicutes; Veillonellales; Veillonellaceae.
GACGAACGCUGGCGGCGUGCUUAACACAUGCAAGUCGAACGAAGAGCGAUGGAAGCUUGCUUCUAUCAAUCUUAGUGGCGAACGGGUGAGUAACGCGUAAUCAACCUGCCCUUCAGAGGGGGACAACAGUUGGAAACGACUGCUAAUACCGCAUACGAUCUAAUCUUGGCAUCGAGGAUAGAUGAAAGGUGGCCUCUACAUGUAAGCUAUCACUGAAGGAGGGGAUUGCGUCUGAUUAGCUAGUUGGAGGGGUAACGGCCCACCAAGGCGAUGAUCAGUAGCCGGUCUGAGAGGAUGAACGGCCACAUUGGGACUGAGACACGGCCCAGACUCCUACGGGAGGCAGCAGUGGGGAAUCUUCCGCAAUGGACGAAAGUCUGACGGAGCAACGCCGCGUGAGUGAUGACGGCCUUCGGGUUGUAAAGCUCUGUUAAUCGGGACGAAAGGCCUUCUUGCGAAUAGG